RNAcentral lists this ribosomal RNA (584 nucleotides) under uncultured bacterium. RNAcentral's name for it is "bacterial SSU rRNA". It matches the Rfam family "Bacterial small subunit ribosomal RNA", at positions 338 to 916 of the family's 1533-position model. The record is from RNAcentral.
CCUACGGGAGGCAGCAGUGGGGAAUUUUGGACAAUGGGCGCAAGCCUGAUCCAGCAAUGCCGCGUGAGUGAAGAAGGCCUUCGGGUUGUAAAGCUCUUUUGUCAGGGAAGAAACGGCAGUUUCUAAUACAGAUUGCUAAUGACGGUACCUGAAGAAUAAGCACCGGCUAACUACGUGCCAGCAGCCGCGGUAAUACGUAGGGUGCAAGCGUUAAUCGGAAUUACUGGGCGUAAAGCGUGCGCAGGCGGUUUUGUAAGUUUGUCGUGAAAUCCCCGGGCUCAACCUGGGAAUGGCGAUGAAGACUGCAAGGCUAGAAUCUGGCAGAGGGGGGUAGAAUUCCACGUGUAGCAGUGAAAUGCGUAGAGAUGUGGAGGAACACCGAUGGCGAAGGCAGCCCCCUGGGUCAAGAUUGACGCUCAUGCACGAAAGCGUGGGGAGCAAACAGGAUUAGAUACCCUGGUAGUCCACGCCCUAAACGAUGUCUACUAGUUGUCGGGUUUUAAUUAACUUGGUAACGCAGCUAACGCGUGAAGUAGACCGCCUGGGGAUACGGUCGCAAGAUUAAAACUCAAAUGAAUUGACGG